AUAAGAUGAAAUUGUUGUUAAGGUUGUCGGUAAAAACAAUACAAAGAGGGGUUCAAGUGGAUUUUUGCUUAGGAAGAAAAAGGUGAAGACCAAAUUGACAUUGACAAAAGCCAAAGCUGCCCAGGCAAUGGAGGUUGACAAAUGAAGUUCAAAUUUUAAUGUCUUAGGUUUAUGUUAUUAUGCUGGUAAGUUAAAGAAGUUCAUUGCUGUUGAAUUCACAGCUUUUUUGUAAGUUGUAACUUAGACAGGAAGUUUUUAUCUAGAAUUGUCUAUGGUAUUCACA
This 283-nucleotide unclassified non-coding RNA is filed under the name Hevea brasiliensis (rubber tree). Lineage: Eukaryota; Viridiplantae; Streptophyta; Magnoliopsida; Malpighiales; Euphorbiaceae. The record is from RNAcentral.